UACGAAGGGUGCAAGCGUUAAUCGGAAUUACUGGGCGUAAAGCGUGCGUAGGCGGUUGGCUAAGUCAGAUGUGAAAGCCCUGGGCUCAACCUGGGAAUGGCAUUUGAAACUGGCUGGCUAGAGUGUGAUAGAGGAUGGCGGAAUUCCCGGUGUAGCGGUGAAAUGCGUAGAGAUCGGGAGGAACAUCCGUGGCGAAGGCGGCCAUCUGGAUCAACACUGACGCUGAGGCAUGAAAGCGUGGGGAGCAAACAGG
This 253-nucleotide ribosomal RNA is filed under the name uncultured bacterium. RNAcentral describes it as "partial 16S ribosomal RNA". It matches the Rfam family "Bacterial small subunit ribosomal RNA", at positions 524 to 776 of the family's 1533-position model. The record is from RNAcentral.